Long non-coding RNA from Myotis lucifugus (little brown bat), 915 nucleotides. RefSeq lists it as uncharacterized. The transcript has 3 exons. The record is from RefSeq and is a predicted model, not a curated record. NCBI's taxonomy places the organism in Eukaryota, Metazoa, Chordata, Mammalia, Chiroptera, Vespertilionidae.
UUUCCACUUCCCCGUGUCCUCCCCUUCACCUUGGGGGACUUAGCUGAGCCAGGGGGGGACCGGAUCCCAGCGGGUGGAGCAACCAGGUGAACCCUGAAAGGUAGGGCGGGGCGGGGGCGCUUGGGCCCCACCCCGGGAUCCGGUGACGCCGGGACUGGAAUUUGACACCGGUCGGCGGCAGGCAUGAGGCUGCUGAGGGAUGGAGUUGGGCCCGGCCCCCAGACACGGCCCACGGGCUCCACGAGCAGCAGGUCCCUCGGGCCCCAGCCCUCGCUGCAUCCUGGACCCAGAGCCCUGCACUUGAGGUAAGCCGGCUGUUGGCCCAGCCUCAUCCCAGCCCUGGAGUUAGGGGGAGCGGGCCGGAGCGUCCCCACCACUCUCUCACAUCCUCCCUCUCCUGGGCCCAGUGCGCAGCUCCUUGCCCCUCCCAGCCUCCUCAGUCCCUCUGGUCGCUUGAGGGACUGUGCUAGCCCUGCCAACCCACUGUAAUGUGAGGCUCCUGCUGCCGCUACUGGGUGCAGACUGGCUGCCAAGGCCAUGCUUUUGGCUAAAAGAGGCACCGCCAGGUGCAUCGCCCUGGGCAUGAGCCUUUCAGCUGCGGGGACAGUCCAGCACUGGUCCCAAGGACGGUGCCUAGAAGAACAGGGUGCAGGACCCUCAUGCUGCCUCAAGAAGAGGGUGGGGGAACAAGUCGACUAGGCUGAUGGGAGAUCCUGGUAUUGACAGAGAUGGAGCCUGGACGUGGAGGCCCUUCUGUGCUGCCCCGCUGGCCCCCGCCUAGGAGGCAGGCAGCCGACUCCAACCUAAGCCCUUCCCGACUCUCCCCACCCAACUAGAAGCCCGCUCUGAGCUCUGCGGCCCCAGCCUUUCCUGGCCUCCCUCCACCCUGAGACCACCUGGGUGCCCUCUUCCUCC